GAAGCUUCGACUAAGGUUCGACUUGAGCGCCAGCGAGAGAGCGUUGCCGCAGGCAACGACCCGAAGGGCGAAGCGCGCAGCGCUGAGUAAUCCUUCCCCCACCACCA
This 107-nucleotide small RNA is filed under the name Escherichia coli. RNAcentral's name for it is "partial RtT sRNA". It matches the Rfam family "RtT RNA", at positions 26 to 130 of the family's 130-position model. Rfam says of the family: This family represents a bacterial cis-regulatory element known as RtT RNA. The exact function of RtT is unknown although it is thought that it may be involved in changing the cellular response in relation to amino acid starvation. Lineage: Bacteria; Pseudomonadati; Pseudomonadota; Gammaproteobacteria; Enterobacterales; Enterobacteriaceae. The record is from RNAcentral.